RNAcentral lists this long non-coding RNA (262 nucleotides) under Elaeis guineensis (African oil palm). Its description in RNAcentral is "long non-coding RNA (EGUI_LNC014993)". Lineage: Eukaryota; Viridiplantae; Streptophyta; Magnoliopsida; Arecales; Arecaceae. The record is from RNAcentral.
CCGGGGUGAGGGUUUAGACGCCUUGGACAGUAGGUGCGGCGCAUGUUUGUUAAAAUGUUUCAGAGGCACAUUGCUACCGGAACUCGAUGUCCAAGUGGACCACGUGGAUCCGAAUCUCUGGUAGCGAAGAAAAUAGAAUUAAAACCAUUGAUUGCAUCCACUGUUAUCAGCCGCACAGGAAAAAAGAAAAGCAACAGUGGCAGUCUCUGAUUCUCCGACGCACCUCCAUGGGACCAGGACCGUGGGUGUCGAGUUGGUGGGU